AAAGACAGCUGUGGGAGGGGGUGGACCGCCCAGAGUCCCGACGGCACAGCAAAUGGGAGCCUGGUGCUUAAAAGAGUAAAACUGUAUCUAACAUGUGCAAUGUCAGUUCUCAGUGACAUUAUGAGCAAAUGAGCAGAGGCUAAGGUAUGAAUCAUAGGAAACUGUAGGUAAACAAAGGGAUUUAGCUUGGUUUUUAUUAGACUCAGACACACAUCCCCAAACUGAAACCCACAGAGAGCAGGAGAAAGAACACAGACUCGGAGUGGCCCCAGCUCCGCCACUGUGUGACCUUGGGCCAGUCACGUGCCUCCUGGCUGGACCAGAUGAACAGGUCUCAAAUGUGGCCGCGCUUCAGAACCACCUGGAGAGGCUGCUAUCUACAGAGCGAGAUGUUCCCUGGCAAGGUCAGCAACUGGCGUUGGUAACAAGCCCCCAGCAGAUAUCGCUCCUGACUUCAUAAGGCUACCAGAGGAUUAAGCUGGAUAACAUCGGCAAGCCUUUAAGAAGAGGGCCUGACAUUUAACAGUUGCUGAGUAAAUGUAGUACGUAUCAUUCUUCAAGGGGUGACUUUUGAGAUGAUUCUAGAAGGAUGAGCUGGAAUUAGGUAGAAAAGGGAACAGCACAUGGAAUGACACCACGGCAGACAUGCCACCUGCCACAGAAAAGUGUCUUCGUGGUGGCGGUCCCGGUGGGGUGGGGGGCAAUGAUGGGCCAGGCACCGCUGUUAAACGGGUGGUGUGUGCUACCUCACGCCCUCCUGACAGCGGCCCCCCAGGUGGACACAAUCACUGUCCUCCUUUUUUAGAUGAAGAAACUGAGGGGCUAAGACUCUAACCCUGACCACCAGAGGCCCCACCCAUGCCCAUGUGCUAAGCCAUUCUGCUGGGGAAGAUGCCUUGGUUUCAGGGAAAAGGACAGUUUCUCUCAGCAUAUGUUGAUAACCUCUAGCCCUGCCCUGCCACCCCUCUCUGCUCGUUUCUGCUCAUCAGCAACUCCCUGUCCAUCAGCAACUUCUCUAAAGAAUUCAGGCACAGAACAUUGAAGCAGAGAGAAGACCUGGCCCAGGGGAGGAGAGAGGCCAAGAAGCAGAGACCCCUGAGCAUUUAAGGAGGGACCGAUUCACUAGGUACAUCAGGCCUUUGAUUCCUCAGGACGGGGCAUGACUUCAGACGAGAUCCAGCCUUGAUGGCCCAGGCAAGCAGGUGAGCCACCGGCCCCUGGCAUCUCAGUAAGGCCAUACUUGUCACUCUCCUCCUUGCUUUGUGCUCCCUCUGUGUAGCAGAUCGAAUCGUGGACACCAAAAGGUAUGUCCAGCUGGAACCUCAAACGUGACCUUAUUUGGAAUAAGGGUCUUUGCGGAUUAAUACGGUAAGGAUCUUGAGAUGAAAUUAUUCUGUGUUAGGGUGAGCCCUCCAUCCAAUCAGAGUCCUUAUAAGGGACAGAAAAGGGUAGCUCUCACCCACAAGCCCACGAAGAGCUACCCUUCUUUCACAGUGAGGGACUCAGGCUCAGAGAGGUGCAGGGCUUUGCUGGCAGCUCAUUCAACUAGUCUACAGAGCAGUGAUCAGGGCCCACGUCAGCUGACACCCGAGCUCUGCCGUCAGGGCUGGGGUCCCAAAGAUGCAAGAGGGAGGGGGGACGGGCCUUGGGAAGUGCCCAGGGCAGGUCUCCAGGGCCCUGGGGAGAGCCAAGCCCCUGGAGCUGGGAGGACUCCCCUGGUAGACUGAACACGGAGACACGGGCAGGACUCCCACGCGCAGGGGGCUUUUAGCGUGGCCUGGGCUGUGCAGUGAACACCUUUGAGGACGAAUGAGACCAUGAGAAACUACAGCCAGUGCUCAUCACCCAGACCCAGGACUGCCUCCUGCCCCGGGACUGGGGCUGAGAACUCAUUUCCAUCCUCAGGACUGUUCACCCCCCUCGAUGGCAGCCCCUUAAGCUUCUUUUGCCAAAUGCAGACGUAGGAUGUGCUUAUUUCAAUCCCAGAUGACACCUCAUUCCUAGAGAGCAAGUACCGUAACUUGUCUCCCAAACUGCACAUUCACACAAAAUCCCAAACUCCCUGCCACAGAGGGAGGGGCGUGGCCUUCUUCUGGCCUGUGGCCUGCGCUGGGCUUGGGCACCAGCUCCUCUGAAAAGGGGCCUGGCCGUGCGAUCUGCCAAAGGCCCUCUUUUCCAAAGCCCUUCUCAUCUUGCCCCCACCAGCCACACCCCCAUACGCAGCAAGCGUUUCCGGUAGAGUAACCCACAUCAAUGCAUCUGGGAAAGUGACAUUUUAAUUUUCAGGAAGCAGCUGAUGCAGAAUUAGGGGACUGGUGGUGCAUAUCAAGUGGCUGCAUCCCUUCCACCUCUGUUUUUUCACACGCUAUCCCUGCAAGCCCAUGGCACAGGGACAGACCGAUACACGGAUGGCAGAAGUUGGUCCUGAACCCUGUACAGAAUUCAGAGGCCCCUUGACUGGGCUGCAGGAUCUAUCCUGCACUUUUUUCAACGUUUCUCUCUCACAACGAGAAACAACCUCUGGGCUUCUGAUUUGACCCAGAAGCUGAACAUCUGGACAAUUUGUCCUUCCCAACCCGCACCGAUACUCAGCCUGCUGACUCCAAGCGGGGUGCUGCAGUGUUCUUGGCCGGCAUGGGGGAGCGAGGCAGGGGCAGCAGAAGCACUGCACAUGGGUCCCCCCUCAGUUCUCAGCACCCCAGGCUGGUGUCUCCCACAGCUUAACCUGUGGGAAAUCCCAGGGAGCCUACCAACUUUACAGGGCCAUAAAAAGACCACCGGAGAUAUCGCCUGUAAAGUGCCUGACACCCAUAGCACACCCUCAGUAAGUGCUGCCCGUUAAUACUAUGAACCUAGAUUUGACCCUGCCAUGUUUUCCCCACUGGUGCUUCCAUCAGAGAGAGGAUGAAAUGCUGCCUUCCCAGCUCUCCUGCGAGAUCUCUGAGCACAGAAGCCACACUUCCUAUUUCUGUAUCCCUGGCAGGGCCAGGCCCAGCGCAGGGCGCAUAGCACGUGCUCACGGCACCUGGUUUUGAAGUACAGUGGUCCGUUCUUGGAGUAAACCUGUGACCCCAGGCUUGUGUUCUUAGUUUCUCCUUUUGCUCUGGAGGCCCAGCCCCACAGCAAGAGGGCACAGACCAGCCGCUAAAUGAACAGGAAGAAUCCAGGUGCCCUGCAUGGGGUCGGUGUUCAGAAAUGGUGCCCCAGGACUGAAGGGCAGAGUGUACCCUGUCGGCAGCCAGCCCUGGGAGGGGGAGGCCCCUCACUCGGGGAUUGCCUAUCACACCCUGCUGUCAGCACCAGGAAGCAGCACCCAAGCAGGGAGAAGGGCCCCGGGCCAGAGCAGACACCACAGUGCCAUCCCCUGGGUCAAGGGUGGGAAGCGUCUGGUGCCACCUAAGAACCUGUCCCAAGGACAGGGGCCCUUCCUGCGCCUGCUGUGCCGUCUAAAGGAAGGGAGGGCCGAGGCGCCACACAAAGCCUGGGGUCUGGGUAGGAGAACUCUGACUUCCUGCCGUUUCAGAGUUUAGGUUAUCACCCUCAUUUCUAGUAACAAUUUCCCGGCCUCAAAGAUUAGAGACCCCGGGCGCCGGCACAGCCUCUCCACAGACUCACUCCCGUUUCUCCUCCUCUGUUUCGCAGUGGCCAGCGGUUCCUCUGAUCACAAAGGCAGAGGAGCCCGGAGAGGGACCUCAAGAGGCACUUGGUCCAGUCCUGUGUCUUCUCACCCAUCCAAUGCAACCGGCCAUUACCCCUGGCAUAACAACGUGACCACUGGCAUCCAUGCCCUGUGUAUGGUUGCAGCAAGCUGGCACACACUGUCGCCUUUGGGACCGCAGUGGCCAUGCAGCACACGUGGGGCUCGUGUUCUUACGUUGCACAGAUGGAGACAGUCUGGGAGAGCAAGGCCCUGGCUUCCCCAGCCCUCACUGCUACUCUCUCUAUUGAAGGCCCGUUCUGUA
This is a long non-coding RNA of Myotis brandtii (Brandt's bat), 3962 nucleotides long. RefSeq lists it as uncharacterized. The transcript is spliced from 2 exons. Lineage: Eukaryota; Metazoa; Chordata; Mammalia; Chiroptera; Vespertilionidae. The record is from RefSeq and is a predicted model, not a curated record.